GGGAAGGUAGCUCAGCGGAUAGAGCGCUUGCAAGGUGGGUUAUCACCGAUGGACAAUAACCUGUCCGAGAGCAAGAGGUCGCCGGUUCGAAUCCGGCCCUUCCCC
RNAcentral lists this transfer RNA (105 nucleotides) under Bacteroidales bacterium. RNAcentral describes it as "tRNA-OTHER". It matches the Rfam family "tRNA". Rfam says of the family: Transfer RNA (tRNA) molecules are approximately 80 nucleotides in length. Lineage: Bacteria; Pseudomonadati; Bacteroidota; Bacteroidia; Bacteroidales. The record is from RNAcentral.